AAUAUUGGACAAUGGGCGAAAGCCUGAUCCAGCCAUGCCGCGUGUGUGAAGAAGGUCNNNGGAUUNUCAAGCACUUUAAGACGNGACNAAGGGGCUGAAGCUAAUACCUUGAAUCUUUGACGUUACCAACAGAAUAAGCACCGGCUAACUCUGUGCCAGCAGCCGCGGUAAUACAGAGGGUGCAAGCGUUAAUCGGAAUUACUGGGCGUAAAGCGCGCGUAGGUGGUUAGUUAAGUUGGAAGUGAAAGCCCCGGGCUUAACCUGGGAAUUGCUUUCAAAACUGACGAGCUAGAGUACGGUAGAGGGUAGUGGAAUUUCCUGUGUAGCGGUGAAAUGCGUAGAUAUAGGAAGGAACACCAGUGGCGAAGGCGACUACCUGGACUGAUACUGACACUGAGGUGCGAAAGCGUGGGGAGCAAACAGG
This 424-nucleotide ribosomal RNA is filed under the name uncultured bacterium. RNAcentral's name for it is "partial 16S ribosomal RNA". It matches the Rfam family "Bacterial small subunit ribosomal RNA", at positions 360 to 776 of the family's 1533-position model. The record is from RNAcentral.